GGCGCGCUCAUCUCUGUGGGACUGAACGAGACGUGGGAGAGAGGAUCACCCGGUUUGGAGCCUCACACCGCGGGGAACGAUGCUCAAAGAGAGGCUCUCCGCGGGCAGCAGGACUUAAAAAGCUGCGGUCCAUCCAUCUGGACACUUUGAAUCCACUCUCGCCUCUUCCUCUUUGAAAAGGAAGAUAAGAAUCCAGGCGGUCAUCUUCCAGCUCUCCUCGGGUCGGGAAUUUAACCCCAGUCUGAAGGCCAGUCAAUCAAACUAUCACCAUGUGGAAGACUAGGAUCCUCCUGCUGCUGCUUUGGGUGCUUCAGGCGUCCGCUGAACUCCAGCAAGAGACGGAGCCACGGAGACUGCCACCGCCGGGAAAGUUGGAUUUCGGUUACGUGCCUGCGGGAGUUUACGAGACACUGGCCCAUUACGAACCGGGACCGAUAGGGAUCCUGUUCCACUUGGUGCACGGCUUUCUGUAUGUGGUGCAACCCAACGCUUUCCCUGAAGAUCUUAUCAUCAGACUGGCAAAGGACAAGUUUGGAGCCAUUCAGUCAGAGUACCAAAAGGCCAUCUACUAUGAGAUAGGCUUCCUAGUAUGUGCGGCGGUGGGCCUGCUGUUCGCCAUACUGAUGCCACUAGUUGGCCUCUUCUUCUGCAUGUGCCGCUGCUGUGACAACUGCGGCGGCGAGAUGCACCAACGACAGAGAAAGAACGCAGACUGCCGGAGAGGCCUGUUGGGGACGCUGCUCUUCUCCACGUCGCUGGUCAUCACGAUCGGCGUGCUGUGUGCAUAUGCUGCCAACCAGAACCUGAGCUCCCAGGUGAAGAACAUACGGAGAUUAGUCAACAGCAACAUGAGGGACCUGCACACCUUCGUUAAUGACACACCCAUGCAAAUUGAUUACCUAAUAUCCCAGUACGCCACAGCCAAGAACAAAGUCAUCUAUGACCUAAAUAAUAUAGGUCCAUUAUUGGGUGGAAGGAUACACGAUCAGCUGGAUAAGGAGGUCAAUCCGGCCCUGGACAGAGCGCUCAGUAUGGCUGGAGCAAUGCGCGAAACAAAGGAGGCUUUGGAGAACGUCAGUGCAGGUCUGGAGGUCCUCAAAGAAGGAACAGGGAAGCUUAACUUCAACCUGAGCCUUGUUCGCACUAGUAUGAACCGCACCCUCAAUGACCCAGGCUGUCAUGAUGAGGAAUCAGAUGCCACCUCAGCUCAGCUGUGCCGAAACAUCCGUCAGUCACUGUCUCAGCUGCAGAUCAGUGCCAACUACACACGGCUACCCAAAGUGAACACACAGCUGGAAAAAGUGAACGAUGUCAUGAAAACAGACCUAAGUGCUAUCGUCCAGAGGGGAUAUGCUUCACUGAACGACACACCCCACAUGGUCAUUGAACAAACUAGGAGUGUUGUGGAGAAUGUACAGGGUUUGGUGGACGGCAUUGGCAACAACAUCAGCAGCUUUUCUAAGAUAUUCCCCGUGCAGAGUUGCCUAUCCAAUUUCACUAUUUUCAUCAACCAUGCCCAUGCCAAGAUUGAGGACCAGUAUCCUGAAAUUGACCAAAUGGACUUCUAUAGAUGGAUUGGUUGCAUUUCACUCUGUUGCAUGGUGGUCCUGGUCCUGGCCUUUAACUAUCUGGGCCUGCUGUGCGGCACGCUGGGAUACGACAAGCACGCGUCACCAACGACAAGAGGAUGCAUCUCUAACACGGGAGGAACGAUGCUCAUGGCUGGGGUUGGAUUCAGCUUCCUCUUCUCUUGGGUGCUCAUGGGAGUGGUGACUCUCAUCUUCCUGGCUGGAGGAAACAUGGAGAAACUUUUCUGUGAACCGUUCCAUACCAAAGAAGUGUUCAAGGUUGUGGAUGCCCCUUAUCUGGUCAACCCAGAGUGGAAGAACUUCAUCCCUGGCUACAUAUACAACGACUCUGACCUAGACCUGACAGCAGAGAGCUUAUACAGUACUUGCAAAGAGAACAAAGGCAUAUACUCAGCCAUGCGACUGGAUAAAGUUUUCAACAUCUCCACCUUCCUGAACACAACAUUGUUUACUAAGGAAGUGGUGGGCCAGCUAGAAAGUGUGAAGAUCGACCUGAGAGGAAUUAUUCUUUUAGAGGCAGAGGGGAAGCAGAACCUUCUGGAUUUCUCUGAAGUGGGGCUGUCUGAAAUCAACUAUGCAGACUACCUGGAAGAGGUCAAUAAAGGAGUCACUGUGGUGGACCUGCUCACAUUUUCCCGAGAGCUUGAGGCUCAGACGGAUCUCAUGCCCAGAGGCGGUCUGCAGACGGCUCUGAAAGGCCACAUCGGGACUCUGCGGCAGAUCCACCGUCAACAGAUCAUCCCGAUGGAGCAGGCCAUGAGUGCAUUGAACCAGAGUAUGAGGUUCCUGGAGAGGACAGCCUCUGACUUGCCAAACAAAGUUUUGGCUGUCAUUGAAGCCAUUGAAGCUGCACAGUACCUCAUAUCCCAGAAUGCAACACAAAUAAUCAAUCAGGAAACAGCAAAAUACACCGCAACUGUUGUUGGCUACUUCCAACAAUACAUAGAGUGGGUCAAAACAUCAUUGGUCAUGGACGUUGCACCAUGCAAGCCUUUCAGCAACAUGGUGGACACGGUGGAAAUCAUUACCUGCAGUUUCUUGGUCGACUCCAUGAACACAUUUUGGAUGGGUUUGGGCUGCAGCACUCUCUUUCUGCUCCCAAGCAUCAUCCUGGCAGUCAAACUAGCAAAGUACUAUCGAAGGAUGGACACAGAGGACGUUUACGAUGACAUUGAGACAAUUCCCAUGAAAACUAUGGAAAUUGGUAAUAAUGGUUAUCAUAGUGAGCACUCACAAGGUAUCCCAAAUCCUUUGAUGACAAGCAUCCCAGCAUAUGACACUAUGAACAGGUUCCCACGGGCCUCGGCUCCUCCGAGGCACAUUGACUGGUGACAGAGAGCCUGCUCUGGCUCCUGAAAGCUUGUUUUAGUGCUUUUCUGCUCACUGGAAAACCAUCAUGUGCCCUCGAAAACUGGAACUAAAAAACACUGCACUGUUCUUUUCACAACCCACAAAGACGAAGCAGAAGACGCUCCAUGUUAGAUGGUUUCAUUGUAGCAGAAAAACAACACAAAGCUCUCUGGAUGUUUUUAUCCAUCGAUCAACUCAACCUCAACCAGGCGGAUCACAGCCUACAAUAUCUUUUCCUUCGUCACUUCACAAAACUCUGCCGGCAGGACAUCAAACUUUUCUCUCUCAGCGUCAAUCUGAGCCAGGCUUGUUCUGCAUUUCUCUUCUUUUUAUUAUUUUAUAAAGACUGCUGUGUCUGCGUUUACAUUUGUUCAGACACAAAACCUAAGCUGAAAGCGCAUUCAGCAAGAAGACAUGACAGUAACUCAUAAUGCCUGUUCAUUUCACUGGUUUAUACUUAAGAAGACUGAAAGGUAACGGGGAAGCUGUUUUUCCUGCACUUGGAUGGACAUCUCAUGUUCAGCACAAGCUUAAUAGUCGAAGAUGGACCGGACCUGUCUAUACACCUGCAAGGAAAGUUGCAAAGUCAUAUGGAACAUGAUUUUAAAAGCUCUUUUUGUUAAAGACAGGACAUCCUUUUUAACUGAUUGUGUGAGUUGGUAAAAAAGUGUGGUACAUAUAUUGGAGAAAAUGCAGGAGCAGGUGGUUCCAAGGUGGAUUUCAAUAGGAAGAAAAAGCUUUGCUUUUAAAAAAAAAUGUUUACAGUAUUUUAGACAUCCAGAGCUUGAAUGGUUUUGGGCGAAUUGCAAAUGACUGGUUAGUUGCCUUUCAGAAGUAUGUGUUGGUUCAGCAUAUUGUAAUAUUUGCUCUGUCUCACAGGGAAAAUACACCCAUCAAUUCUAGACUACAAAUCUGUCAUACACUUUGUGCAAGGUCUUCACUUUCUGCAUUUCCCAGAAUAAAUAUGUCUUAGAUGUUUAUCCCUUAAAGUAAGAUUAAUUUAUAGUGAAAUCAUGUUGCUAAGUUCUUAGUCUGCUGAGGUUGAUUUUUAUUGACCAUUUAACUCUGAAAACAGUCAAAAUGAAGCACAAUUUUAAACAUGCAUAAAAGCAUCAGUGGAUAACUGAUUUUUUGAGUGUGGCUAAAUUCUAGUCCUGCUGGAAUUGAUGCUCUGUGCAAGUUAACAUCCACAUAUCUGCUCUGAAUAAGCUUACUUUUUAGUUCAGUGAAGCAGUUUUACACCAGUUUAACCUGACACAUCCUUCUCAUAACAGUUUUCCCAUUUUCCAGGCCACAAUACUGCCAAAUCGUACGCUACAUGACAGUCGUGCUAUGUGUUAACUGUAAGAGUAGAGCUUCAGGGCAAUGGCAGUUGCCAUUAUUCUGAGCUACAGUGGCUAUUAGUGGCGGGUGCUUGUGGUACAGUUUAGACAGACAAUGGAUUAACUGAGAACAAAUAUCAAUAACUUGUUUAACUGACUAGUUAAUAUGGGGCUGACUAGUGAGGGUGCAGAUUUAAACUGUUUAGACAGUUUAUAUUGGGCAAAGCAUAUCCUUAUUGUAUACCAAAGAGGAAAAUGGUUAAUUGGAAUUUUUUUCACACCUACAUAUUUGAAAACAUAUUCUAAAAAAAUGUCACAUGACCAAUUUAGAGAUCAUCAUCAUCACCAGCUCUCAUUUUGCAUUAUUACAGGAGUAGUGGAAACACUUGGGUGGAUUUUCCCUUUGAUUCACACAAUCCAGUCAGAGCAUAACUUCUUAAAAUGUUGCUUUUCCUGACAAGAGUGUCAGUCUAGAUUUUUCUAUAGGUAAUAAAAUGUUUAACACAAGGUAUCAUUUUGAGUUGACUAACAAAACAUUUUUACUGAUUUCUUUCUUGCUUUUAUAGAGGAGAAAUUCUUUUCUCAAGCCAAAUUGUUUGUCCUUUUUCUUUCUUUUUUUUUUUUUUUUUUUUUUAACCGUAGGUCUCAGGUCUUUAGCAGUCUGUUAUUUUUGUGCUUAUGUUUUGUUUCUGCUUUUUAAUACCCCCAGAGUAGCUAUUGAUACAUUUAAAAACAAUAGAACAAGUGAAUGUACUCAAGAGCUAUUUUGAUUUGUGUUACUUGAUGCUGUUGACUGAGAAAAAUGCUGAACUGUACGACUAACACAUUUGACAUGCCAAUCCAGAUCCAUCUCGCCUCCAUGUUUACAGGUUAGCUUAGCUUCAGCUGCUGUGGAGAUGAUUUUCAUGUGACAAUCCAUUCAUGGGACAAGUGAGCUCUCGCAAUCAUUAAAACAAAAUAUUUGAAAUUUUCAUGUUGGAAACAGUUCAUGGUAAUGAAGCAUAUUGUGAAAAAAUGUCCAUCUUAACAUUUUAAGUUUUGAAAUAACAUAUCUAGCUAGCUAACAGUCUGCUGUGUCCCUGAUCACAUACUUCUGUACUAAAUACUAAAUAUUUUGAGUAUGCAUAGUUCAUUAAAACUAGCCAACUCAAAAACAUUCAAGAAUUGAGUGCCGAACAUUGGAAACCCUAUGAAUGCCAUAUUGGUGAUGUAGCAGAUGUUGUACUGUUAGCAUGCUAGCACGCUAGCUAACGUCAGCAUCCGCUUGCAAGGUAACGUAUUAUUAGCAAUGGCAGCAUUUCAGUAAAAAAAACAAAAAAAACAAAAGGCAUUCAAGGAAAUUGGUGUUUUUUCAAGCCAAUAAUGUAAGAUAUGAGUAAAAAAGAAGAAGAAAACAGAGGUGGUUAGACUGUUGUCACUCCCUUUUAGUGCAAAACAUCAGUGUUUAAUUUGAGACAAUACUAACCUGGUGUGAUUAAGUGUUGUGUUUUGCAUUUAAUUGUACUAUAAUACUAUAUACUAACAGAAUUAUGUGAUUUCAGACACACAGUAAGAUUAAGCUAGCACAUGAUAGCAAAAAAGCUAGCCCGCUGUUUACUUCCUGAAACAUUUUACUUUUCUAAAAAAGUAAUCAAAGCCUAGAUUAGAAAAUAAGAUAAAUCAGUCUAUAAGCUAAAUGGAAAGAAAAUUUUCAUACAGUUUGGUUUUAAGAAUUAUCUCGAUGCUAAAUUAUUAGCAUCAAAGUUUUCAUUUAAUCGAACUAAAGCAGCUGAUUGGUAUUGAAAAAUCUUCACCUAAGCCUUCUAUUUGUAACAGUUCAUAAAUUUACAUUACUAUGUCAAAGUAAUUUCAUGUAUCAGGGUUUAUAAUUUGAAUAGCUAAAGCUUGAUCUAGGCUAGCUAGUAGCCUUACCACAACCAGAAAGCUAAAACUCUUGUUCUACAUGGUGACCAGUAUAGAGCACUGUUUUAUGUCUUUGUGGUAUUAAUAUCUCAAAAAUGUUCCCGAUUGUCAGGUUAACAUAUCUUUAGUGUAAAUUUCAAAUUGACUUCAGCUAGCCUAAGAUCAGCUGACUGUGUGUUUACUACUUAACUAAAAAAAAAAAAAAAAAAAACAGCUUUCUUGUGAGAUGGACAUUUUUAAGCUCAUCUGUGUGCUCACUUUGACAGGACUAUCAUUGUUUGCUUGUCUGAGUCUGGAUGUGACCAAUCUUGAGAAAGGUAUGAUUUUACUAAGUGCUUAUACUAGGUGUUGUGGUAUUCGAACCCUGGACGGAUGUCGUUAGGACGGACUGGUUUUUAACUGUGGUGCUCUGAGAUGGGCAUUGAUGGAGCUGACAAAAAGAUGCUUUUAUUUGUGGAGGCGAAAGAGACUGUAAAAAUUGUGA
This is an RNA transcript of Cheilinus undulatus (humphead wrasse), 6647 nucleotides long. It is a transcript of the gene named prominin 1a, with no coding region annotated. The record is from RefSeq and is a predicted model, not a curated record. The transcript has 28 exons. NCBI's taxonomy places the organism in Eukaryota, Metazoa, Chordata, Actinopteri, Labriformes, Labridae.